UACAGAGGCCUCGAGCGUUGUUCGGAUUCAUUGGGCGUAAAGGGUGCGUAGGUGGCGAGGCAAGUCUGGUGUGAAAUCCUAGGGCUCAACCCUGGAACUGCACUGGAUACUACUUUGCUUGAGUACUGGAGAGGAGAUUGGAAUUUACGGUGUAGCAGUGAAAUGCGUAGAUAUCGUAAGGAAGACCAGUGGCGAAGGCGAAUCUCUGGACAGUUACUGACACUGAGGCACGAAGGCCAGGGGAGCAAACGGG
RNAcentral lists this ribosomal RNA (253 nucleotides) under uncultured Spartobacteria bacterium. RNAcentral's name for it is "partial 16S ribosomal RNA". It matches the Rfam family "Bacterial small subunit ribosomal RNA", at positions 524 to 776 of the family's 1533-position model. Lineage: Bacteria; Pseudomonadati; Verrucomicrobiota; Spartobacteria. The record is from RNAcentral.